Molecule: ribosomal RNA, 3378 nt
Filed under: Solanum tuberosum (potato)
Lineage: Eukaryota; Viridiplantae; Streptophyta; Magnoliopsida; Solanales; Solanaceae
Description: Eukaryotic large subunit ribosomal RNA
Rfam family: Eukaryotic large subunit ribosomal RNA
Source: Rfam by way of RNAcentral
UGACCCCAGGUCAGGCGAGAUUACCCGCUGAGUUUAAACAUAUGAAUAAGCGGAGGAAAAGAAACUUCCAAGGAUUCCCUUAGUAACGGGGAGCUAAUCGGGAACAACCCAACCUUAAAAUCGGGCGGCUCCAUCGUCCGAAUUGUAUUCUGGAGAAGCGUCCUCAGCGGAGGAUCGGGCCCAUGUCCCCUGUAAGGGGACGCCAGAGAGGGUGACAACCCCGUUGUCCCUUGAUCCUGCCACACGACAAGGCGCUGUCUACGAGUCGGGCUGUUUGAGAAUGCAACCCAAAUCAGGCGGUGAAUUUUGUCCUAGGCUAAAUACAGGAGAGAGACCGAUAACUAACAAGUACCACGAGGGAAAGAUCAAAAGGACUUUGAAAAUAGAGUCAAAGAGUGCUUGAAAUUAUCGGGAGGGAAGCAGAUGGAAGCUGACGAUGCACCCUGGUCAGAUGUGGAACGGUGAUGAGCUGGUUCGUCAAUCGACUCGGGGUGUGGACCAGCAUGGAUUAAGGGGGCGGUCAAAGCCUGGAUAUGCCCGUGGAAUGCUGUCUUAUUGAUUUUGGUACGAAGCGUGCGCUUCUGGCGUGCUUCGACAUCUGUCUGCUCCGGACACUGGCUGUGGGCUCCCCAUUCGACCCGUCUUUAAACACGGACCAAGGAUUUUGACAUGUGUCCAAGUCAACGGGCUAGUAAAUUCACAAGGGAUAAGGAAUCUGAUUGGUGGGAUCCUCUUGAGGGGUGCACCGCCGACCGACCUUGAUCUUCUGAGAAGGGUUCGAGUGUGAGCAUACCUGCUGGGACCCGAAAGAUGGUGAACUAUGCCUGAGCGGGGGAGAAGCCAAAGCAUACUCUAGUGGAGGACCGUUGUGAUACUGACGUGCAAAUCGUUCAUCUGACUUAGGUAUAGGGGCGAAAGACUAAUUGAACCAUCUAGUAGCUAGUUCCCUUCGAAGUUUCCCUCAAAAUAGCUAGAGAUCGGGUGCGAAUUUUAUCGGAUAAAGCCAAUGAUUUGAGGAUUCAUGGGGCAACACCCAGACCUAUUUUCAAACUUUAAAAUCAGAAGGAUGACAUGACUGCUUUGUUGAGCUGCACCACGGAAUCAAGAACUCCAAGUGGGCCAUUUUUGGUAAGCUGGACUGGCGAUGAGGGAUGAACCGAAAGCCGGCUUAUGGUUCCAAACUGCAUUCUAACCAAGAUCCAACAAAGGGUGUUGGUCAAUUAAGACAGCAGGAAAGUGGUCAUGGAUGUCAAAAUCUGCUAAGGAGUUUGUACCAACUCACCUGCCGAGUAAACUAGCCCCGAAAAUGGAUGAGCACUUAAGCACGCGACCUACACUUAGCCGUCAGGGUAAGUCCCAGAUCCCGAUGAGUUGGAGGGAAUGGCGGUCUCUACAAAACAUUGGGCAUGAGCCUGUGCGGAGCACCCGUUAGUGUAGAUCUUGGUGGUAGUAGAAAAUAUUCAAAUGAGAACUUUGAAGGUCUAAAAGGGGAAAGGUUCAAUGUGAACGGCACCAGCACAUAGGUUAGUCAAUCCUAUGGGUCGGGGGAACCCCGACAAAUAGCGCGUUUCGCGCGUACUCCGUAAGGAAAUAGGUUAAAAUUCCUGAACCGGAACGUGGAGGUUGACGACAACAUUAGGAAGUCGGCUAACGUUGGUGGGAGCUUCGGGAAGAGUUGUCUUUUCUGUUUAACAGCAUGCCCACCAUGGAAUAGGCUUGCCGGAGGUAGGGUCCAGCGGCUGGAAGAGCACCACACGUCACGUGGUGCCUGGUGCACUCCCGGCGAUCCUUGAAAAUCCAGAGGACCUAAUGCCGUCCACACUUGGUCAUACUCAUAACUGCAUCAGGUCUCCAAGGUGAACAACCUUUAGUUGAUGGAACAAUAUAGGCAAGGAAAGUCGGUAAAAUAGAUCCGUAACUUCGUGAAAGAUAUAUGCUCGGAGUGUUUGGCAUGGGGGUCCUAGUACCGAACCCACUGGCUGUCGAUGAACUGCAUGAGUUGAUCCCGCAGAAAUAUUGGGUCGGCGUGUGCCGGCCGGGGGACGGACUGGGAACGGUUCCUUCGGGGGCCUUCCCCGGGAGUCAAACAACCAACUCAGAACUGUUACAAACAAGGGGAAUUUGACUAUUUAUUUAAAACAAAGCAUUGCGAUGGUCCCAACGGAUGUUUACACAAUGUGAUUUUUGUCUAGUGCUCUGAAUGUCAAAGUGAAGAAAUUCAACCUUGCGGGGGUAAACGGUCGGAGUAACUACGACUCUCUUAAGGUAGCCAAAUGCCUCUUCAUCUAAUUAGUGAUGCAUAUGAAUGUAUUAAUAAGAUUCCCACUAUCCCUGUCUAAUAUACAGCGAAACCACAGCUAAGGGAACAUGUUUGGCAGAAUUAGCGGGGAAAGAAGACCCUUUUGAGCUUUAAUCUAGUCCGACUUUAUGAAAUGACUUGAGAGGUGUAGUAUAAGUGGGAGUCGAACGGCGAAAGUGAAAUACUACUACUUUUAACGUUAUUUUACUUUUUCCGUGAAUCAGAAAGGGGGACUACCCUCUUUUUGGACCCAAGUCUCGCUUUGCGGGUCGAUACGGGGGGAAGACAUUGUCAAUUGGGGAGUUUGGCUGGGUGGCACAUCUAUUAAAAGAUAAUGCAGGUGUCCUAAGAUGAGCUCAACGAAAAUAGAAAAAUCGUGUGGAUCAGAAGGACAAAAGCUUGUUUGAUUCUGAUUUCCUGUACGAAUACGAACCGUGAAUGUGUGGCCUAACGAUCUUUUAGACCUUCAGAGUUCUAAGCUAGAGGUGUCAGAAAAGUUACCAACAAGGAUAACUAGCUUGUGGCAGCCAAGCUAUAUAGCGAAAUUUAUUUUUGAUCUUUCGAUGUCGGCUCUUCCUAUCAUUGUGAAGAAAAAUUCACCAAGUGUUGGAUUGUUCACCCACAAAUAGGGAACGUGAGCUGUGUUUAGACCAUCAUGAUAGAGGUUAGUUUUACCCUACUGAUGACAGUGUCGCAAUAGUAAUUAAACCUAGUAAGAGAGGAACCGUUAAUUCGCAUAAUUUGUCAUCCCGCUUGGUUGAAAAGCCAGUGGCACGAAACUAGUGUGUGUUGGAUUAUGACUGAACGCCUCAAAGUCAGAAUCCAGGCAAGAAGCGACGCAUGCGCCCGCCGUCAGCUUGCCGACCCACAGUAUGGGCCUUUAGCCCCCAAGUGAACCAUUUGUUGGCUAAGUCACCGCGAUGGAAGCAUCGCGGUGACUUCCUUAAAGUACAAUGUCCAUCCAGUGGUGGGUAGUAUCCUCAGCAGAAGACAUAAAUACACGACGGGGUAUUGUAAGUGGAAGAGUAGCCUUGCUGCCACGAUCCACUGAGAUACAACCCUUUGUCACUUCGAUUCGU